CUCUUAUUGUGGCAGAGGCAAUUGUAUGAAGCAUUUCUACAGAGUGAGACAGUUUUUUCAUCAGUCCAAGGGUCGGCAUUGGCUGCUUUAGCUGUAUUGAAAAAGAUAUGUGAUCAUCCGUCUCUGUUGACUCAAAGAGCAACAGAUGAUGUGUUGGAAGGGAUGGACAAGAUGCUUGAUGGCGACGAUCAUGCUCUCAUGGAAAAGAUGGUGAUGGAUGUUACGAGAAUCUCUUCGGAUGAUGCACCAAGACAGUUGGGCAAUGUUUCAUGCAAAAUAAAUUUUCUGAUGUCUUUGCUGGAAAAUUUGGUUGCAGAAGAUCAUAAUGUCCUUGUGUUUUCUCAGACACGGAAGAUGUUAGACAUCAUUCAGG
Molecule: long non-coding RNA, 373 nt
Organism: Nymphaea colorata (pocket water lily)
Lineage: Eukaryota; Viridiplantae; Streptophyta; Magnoliopsida; Nymphaeales; Nymphaeaceae
Exons: 3
Source: RefSeq, a predicted model, not a curated record